AAAACGAAGGUAAAUUCACAGUGCAGAGAUU
This 31-nucleotide non-coding RNA is filed under the name Trypanosoma brucei brucei. Lineage: Eukaryota; Euglenozoa; Kinetoplastea; Trypanosomatida; Trypanosomatidae. The record is from RNAcentral.